This 893-nucleotide long non-coding RNA is filed under the name Bos indicus x Bos taurus (hybrid cattle). RNAcentral's name for it is "lncRNA (ENSBIXG00000002190.1)". The record is from RNAcentral. Lineage: Eukaryota; Metazoa; Chordata; Mammalia; Artiodactyla; Bovidae.
AAAAAAAAAAAAGGAUCAGGUUUUGCUAAAAGCAGACAACAAUGGCAGCCCAUGAAGUGUUAGAGAGGCAAUCGUUUCCCUGAAUAUUCCCAUUCAGAGCACCAACUGGAUACCCUGCUGGCGGGUCUCUGUCUCUGUCCGUGUCAGGAACCUUCCGGAGGAGGCUGGCAGGUGCCGGCUGUUCAUGCUGUCUGAACUGGAAGCUCUUACCUGGGCUGGGAGCCCAUCAGGAGUAUGACAGCAAAGUCGGUGCAGUUCAGGCUUUGACUUCUCCUUUUAUCACCAAGAUUUUUUGGCAGAACAUAGAAGGAAUUCCAGCCCACAGGGAGUUGCCCCAGAAAUUAGAUUCAAGAGACAUGUUCAAACCAAUCUGCAGCAUAUAAAUUUAUAUGAAGAAACUGAUCUUCCCAGAAACAAGGAGGUUCAUGUCAUCCCACCAGGGCUUCGACUUGCUGCAUUGAAUAACCAGGAACUGACUUUCUGGUUAUGGCUGGAUAAAAGCACUGGGUGAUGGAUGGGGUCAGGGAUGUUUCACAACAGCCACUCAGGAGACCUGGGAACAAAACCAGUCACUUACCGGAGAGGCCGUUCAUGGACCAGUUGCUCAUGUUCCCAGAUCCAGUGACCCUUCUCCUGGAUGUUGCUGAUUUUUAGAAGAAAAGCCAGUGGGCUCCCAGACAAAGUUAAAAAAGAAAAGCUCUCGUCACCAUUCCUGUAUAUUAGCAUAUUUUACAGAAGGACACUGAGCUGUGGAGGGGUUUUGGUAGCAGCAAUUAUUUUUCAAACUGGGAAGAUAUGAAUGAUAAAGGGACUGUGUCAGCUGCGGGGCUGUAGAUUCCAUGCCUUUUCCUAAACACUAUGAUUCAACCCUCCCACUGGAGUCUGCCUGGUGG